UUAACUACCCUUGACAUGUCUGGAAUCCCGAAGAGAUUUGGGAGUGCUCGCAAGAGAACCGGAACACAGGUGCUGCAUGGCUGUCGUCAGCUCGUGUCGUGAGAUGUUGGGUUAAGUCCCGCAACGAGCGCAACCCUUGUCAUUAGUUGCUACGAAAGGGCACUCUAAUGAGACUGCCGGUGACAAACCGGAGGAAGGUGGGGAUGACGUCAAGUCCUCAUGGCCCUUAUGGGUAGGGCUUCACACGUCAUACAAUGGUCGGGACAGAGGGUUGCCAAGCCGCGAGGUGGAGCCAAUCCCAGAAACCCGAUCGUAGUCCGGAUUGCAGUCUGCAACUCGACUGCAUGAAGUCGGAAUCGCUAGUAAUCGCGGAUCAGAAUGUCGCGGUGAAUACGUUCCCGGGUCUUGUACACACCGCCCGUCACACCAUGGGAGUGGGUUUCACCAGAAGUAGGUAGCCUAACCGUAAGGAGGGCGCUUACCACGGUGGGAUUCAUGACUGGGGUGAAGUCGUAACAAGGUAAGCGUAGUGCU
RNAcentral lists this ribosomal RNA (534 nucleotides) under uncultured bacterium. Its description in RNAcentral is "bacterial SSU rRNA". It matches the Rfam family "Bacterial small subunit ribosomal RNA", at positions 971 to 1509 of the family's 1533-position model. The record is from RNAcentral.